UUUAGAGGAACCUGCCCUGUGAACGAUGAUCCACGAGAGCCUUACUUUAUUUUGAAAUCAGUUUGUAUACCGCUGUUGUCAGUUAGAUUUUUGAGAAUAUUUUCUUUUUGGUAAAGCCAAUGACUUCAAGUAAAGGUGCAGCUUAUAGUAAAGUUAGAGGUGGGUUACAUUUAUAAGAAUAAGACGGAUUAAGGAUUUAAUUGACUUAUGAAGGUGGAUUUAACCGUAAAAUUGAAUUAGAUUUGGUGAUAGC
RNAcentral lists this ribosomal RNA (253 nucleotides) under Chelonibia testudinaria. Its description in RNAcentral is "partial small subunit ribosomal RNA". Lineage: Eukaryota; Metazoa; Arthropoda; Thecostraca; Balanomorpha; Chelonibiidae. The record is from RNAcentral.